RNAcentral lists this small nuclear RNA (164 nucleotides) under Pteropus alecto (black flying fox). RNAcentral describes it as "U2 spliceosomal RNA". It matches the Rfam family "U2 spliceosomal RNA". Rfam says of the family: U2 is a small nuclear RNA (snRNA) component of the spliceosome (involved in pre-mRNA splicing). The record is from Rfam by way of RNAcentral. Lineage: Eukaryota; Metazoa; Chordata; Mammalia; Chiroptera; Pteropodidae.
AUCGCUUCUUGGCCUUUUUGCUAAGAUCAAGUGUAGUAUUUGUACAAACCUUCUGUACUUAAAGGAUAUAGUUUUUAUAACAAGCCGAGUUUGGAACAUGGCUCCAUAUCUACGUAACUCUGUAGAAAUCAGUUUACUUCCAUCUUAAAUAUGCCUUAUUCUUU